UACGUAGGUGGCGAGCGUUGUCCGGAAUCAUUGGGCGUAAAGAGCGCGUAGGUGGCUUGUCAGGUCUGAUGUGAAAUCCUGGGGCUCAACUCCAGAACUGCAUCGGAAACCGGCUUGCUAGAGUCUGGGAGAGGAGAGUGGAAUUCCUGGUGUAGCGGUGAAAUGCGUAGAUAUCAGGAGGAACACCGGUAGCGAAGGCGGCUCUCUGGAACAGUACUGACGCUGAGGCGCGAAAGCUAGGGGAGCGAACAGGAUUAGAUACCCUGGUAGUCCUAGCCGUAAACGAUGGACACUAGGUGUCGGGGGUGUCGACUCCCUCGGUGCCGAAGCUAACGCAUUAAGUGUCCCGCCUGGGGAGUACGGCCGCAAGGCUAAA
Molecule: ribosomal RNA, 376 nt
Filed under: uncultured bacterium
Lineage: Bacteria
Description: bacterial SSU rRNA
Rfam family: Bacterial small subunit ribosomal RNA
Source: RNAcentral